Long non-coding RNA from Trifolium pratense (red clover), 1054 nucleotides. RefSeq lists it as uncharacterized. The transcript has 3 exons. NCBI's taxonomy places the organism in Eukaryota, Viridiplantae, Streptophyta, Magnoliopsida, Fabales, Fabaceae. The record is from RefSeq and is a predicted model, not a curated record.
CUUUCUUUCAAAACUCAGACCAAACCAAGAAGGAAGGAACAAAGACAGAACGAAGAAAGACAAACCCCAUCAAUCUCCACUCCGAAAACCCUCUCAUCUCCGGCGACCAUCUUCGUUCCGGCGAUCAUCUCCACUCUCUUCGUUCGCAGCUGUUUCAUUGUCCGUCCCUCUCAACUUGAACAGAUGGGUCGUGUAGAUAGCUGAAGGAUGUGUAGAUGAAGGACCCCCUUAAUGUUUGUUAGUUAUUAAAUUAGUCAUUUUUUGCAUCACCCUGUUUAUGAUUAAUUGCAAAGGCAAUAGUAUAUAUUAAUGAAAUUUUAAUGAUUUAUUUUGUUCAUUAUAGGUUUAUGCCUCAUGAGAGUCAUCACUUUAUAAGCAAUUGUGAGAAUCAUCAUGCAUAUUAUGUGCUUUAAGUGUUCUGCAUAUUUUGACUAUUUGUCUCAUAAUGAAAUGAAGAAAGAUAUAUUUUUGUUUAUGUUUUGCAGCUUUAUUGGACUAUAGUUGUGGGAAUUAUAGUUGAGAUGAUUAUGACAUGGGUGGAGCAACUGGUUAGUAAAAUUGUAUCUUAUUUGAUACAAGAGUUUAGGAUUAUAGGAAUCAUUGAGAAUGUGAUAAUGUUAUUUCCUUGUGCAGGCUUGUAAUAUCUCAUUAAAAAUUGUCGACUUCCAACGCUCUAUCGUACAUGAAAUGAAGACGGGGUCUUUGUAAGAACUCAAACCAAUGCAUAAGAGUUAUACUGGGUUGAACAAGAUAUAAGUUGCAGGCCUCAGAAGCUGCAGAUGGUAAGGGCUCCCAGAUGAUCAACACGAUUGACCCUGCGACUCAUUUUAAGUUAUGUGCCUAAUCAUCUAGAGGAAAACUGUUAUGACUACAUAUUUUGUCCAAAUUGUUAGUGUCUUAUCUGUUUAUUUUGAAACUUGUAAUAGUGUCAAUUUUUGUUAACACUACACUUUAGUUUCAGUAAAUGAUCUUUUGAUGAUAUGAUUCAAUUUGCUUAGUUUUAAAUUUAGUUAUUGUUUAGUUUGUGUUUGUUUGGUAUUGGUUAUCUUGUUGG